This 484-nucleotide ribosomal RNA is filed under the name uncultured bacterium. RNAcentral describes it as "partial 16S ribosomal RNA". It matches the Rfam family "Bacterial small subunit ribosomal RNA", at positions 28 to 523 of the family's 1533-position model. The record is from RNAcentral.
GAUGAACGCUGGCGGCGUGCUUAACACAUGCAGGUCGAACGGUGAAGCAGGAGCUUGCUCUUGUGGAUCAGUGGCGAACGGGUGAGUAACACGUGAGCAACCUGCCCCUGACUCUGGGAUAAGCGCUGGAAACGGCGUCUAAUACUGGAUAUGUGAUGUGACCGCAUGGUCUGCAUCUGGAAAGAAUUUCGGUUGGGGAUGGGCUCGCGGCCUAUCAGCUUGUUGGUGAGGUAAUGGCUCACCAAGGCGUCGACGGGUAGCCGGCCUGAGAGGGUGACCGGCCACACUGGGACUGAGACACGGCCCAGACUCCUACGGGAGGCAGCAGUGGGGAAUAUUGCACAAUGGGCGGAAGCCUGAUGCAGCAACGCCGCGUGAGGGAUGACGGCCUUCGGGUUGUAAACCUCUUUCAGUAGGGAAGAAGCGAAAGUAACGGUACCUAAAGAAGAAGCACCGGCUAAUUAUGUGCCAGCCGCCGCGGUAA